UGGGGAAUAUUGGACAAUGGGCGAAAGCCUGAUCCAGCGACGCCGCGUGUGUGAAGGAGGCCUUCGGGUUGUAAAGCACUUUCAGCGAGGAGAAAAGGAUGCUGGCUAAUAUCCAGCAUCUGUGACGUUACUCGCAGACGAAGCACCGGCUAACUCCGUGCCAGCAGCCGCGGUAAUACGGAGGGUGCAAGCGUUAAUCGGAAUUACUGGGCGUAAAGCGCACGCAGGCGGUUGGAUAAGUUAGAUGUGAAAGCCCCGGGCUCAACCUGGGAAUUGCAUUUAAAACUGUCCAGCUAGAGUCUUGUAGAGGGGGGUAGAAUUCCAGGUGUAGCGGUGAAAUGCGUAGAGAUCUGGAGGAAUACCGGUGGCGAAGGCGGCCCCCUGGACAAAGACUGACGCUCAGGUGCGAAAGCGUGGGGAGCAA
This 424-nucleotide ribosomal RNA is filed under the name uncultured bacterium. RNAcentral describes it as "bacterial SSU rRNA". It matches the Rfam family "Bacterial small subunit ribosomal RNA", at positions 355 to 771 of the family's 1533-position model. The record is from RNAcentral.